RNAcentral lists this ribosomal RNA (579 nucleotides) under uncultured bacterium. RNAcentral describes it as "bacterial SSU rRNA". It matches the Rfam family "Bacterial small subunit ribosomal RNA", at positions 102 to 677 of the family's 1533-position model. The record is from RNAcentral.
ACGGGUGAGUAAUGUCUGGGGAUCUGCCCGAUAGAGGGGGAUAACCACUGGAAACGGUGGCUAAUACCGCAUAACGUCGCAAGACCAAAGAGGGGGACCUUCGGGCCUCUCACUAUCGGAUGAACCCAGAUGGGAUUAGCUAGUAGGCGGGGUAACGGCCCACCUAGGCGACGAUCCCUAGCUGGUCUGAGAGGAUGACCAGCCACACUGGAACUGAGACACGGUCCAGACUCCUACGGGAGGCAGCAGUGGGGAAUAUUGCACAAUGGGCGCAAGCCUGAUGCAGCCAUGCCGCGUGUAUGAAGAAGGCCUUCGGGUUGUAAAGUACUUUCAGCGGGGAGGAAGGCAGUGAGGUUAAUAACCUUACUGAUUGACGUUACCCGCAGAAGAAGCGCCGGCUAACUCCGUGCCAGCAGCCGCGGUAAUACGGAGGGUGCAAGCGUUAAUCGGAAUUACUGGGCGUAAAGCGCACGCAGGCGGUCUGUUAAGUCAGAUGUGAAAUCCCCGGGCUUAACCUGGGAACUGCAUUUGAAACUGGCAGGCUUGAGUCUCGUAGAGGGGGGUAGAAUUCCAGGUGUA